AACGAACGCUGGCGGCAUGCCUAACACAUGCAAGUCGAACGAGACCUUCGGGUCUAGUGGCGCACGGGUGCGUAACGCGUGGGAACCUGCCCUUAGGUUCGGAAUAACUCCCCGAAAGGGGUGCUAAUACCGGAUAAUGUCUUCGGACCAAAGAUUUAUCGCCUUUGGAUGGGCCCGCGUUGGAUUAGCUAGUUGGUAGGGUAAAAGCCUACCAAGGCGACGAUCCAUAGCUGGUCUGAGAGGAUGAUCAGCCACACUGGGACUGAGACACGGCCCAGACUCCUACGGGAGGCAGCAGUGGGUAAUAUUGGACAAUGGGCGAAAGCCUGAUCCAGCAAUGCCGCGUGAGAGAUGAAGGCCUUAGGGUUGUAAAGCUCUUUUAGCCGGGAUGAGAAUGACAGUACCGGGAGAAUAAGCUCCGGCUAACUCCGUG
Molecule: ribosomal RNA, 433 nt
Filed under: uncultured bacterium
Lineage: Bacteria
Description: partial 16S ribosomal RNA
Rfam family: Bacterial small subunit ribosomal RNA
Source: RNAcentral